Long non-coding RNA from Harpia harpyja (harpy eagle), 923 nucleotides. RefSeq lists it as uncharacterized. The record is from RefSeq and is a predicted model, not a curated record. NCBI's taxonomy places the organism in Eukaryota, Metazoa, Chordata, Aves, Accipitriformes, Accipitridae. The transcript is spliced from 3 exons.
UGCCCCGCGGAACCGCACCGGCAUCUGUGGGACACCGGCAGCCCCCGGGGAUAUCGGCUGCGCCCUUCUCCUCUUGGUCCCCACGAUCUAAUGUAGAGAGUCUCCUUUGCUUAAAAAAAAAACCCCAAACCGGUAUUUUCGUUUUGCUUCCAAAUGCUUAUACUUAUUCGUAAUUAAAAAGCCUUACGAUUUUUUCUUUAUUUAAAAUAUUUCCGAGUUGAGCAAACAACGGCAACGAGAAAUCCCUGUCCUGUGCUGUGGCAAAGACAAGUCCAGGGUGGCAGGGGGAGCGCUGGCAUUUUGGGGCGGUGUGUAUGAGAGCACGUCCCCCUCUGCUGCGGGGGGAUCGUUUGCAUCGUUGUUUUAUAAAAAAAUAGAUGUUCCUUGAAAGGGCCGGGGGGGAAUCUGUGUUUCGUUUGCUGCUUUGGAAGCCUAAGACAAGUUCAUUGUGAGAGAAGACAUGAAGGAGACCUGGUUCUGGCGGCUGCGGGGGGCAUCACGGAGGAAGGAACGAAAAUUCACCCAAACCGCUGUCUGAGGCCAAAAAUAGAAGCCACAUAAAGGAUACAGUCAAAAUCUGAGCCGAGAAAAACGCCUCGGGAAGCUAUUGCUGUGUCGUAAGGAAAACCAAAGGGCAAAGCGAGGUACGUCAUGGCUCAAUCCAAAAAGAAAGACAGGUCAGCCCACAGCAACACUUCCAGUGCCGCUGCGUCUGCUGCUGGAGAGGAUGAGACAGAAAACCUCACCUUGUGCUGGUGUUGGUGAGUCUUCUGCAUGCCCACUGCUAGCUACUGAGAUAGUGGUGCUUGUGGGCGAGGACUGGAUGCUGUGCUUGACUUGGCUUCCUUUGCUUUGCAGUGCGGGCAGAGUCCUGCUCUUAAAAAAAUAAAGAAAAAAAAAAAAGAAAAAGCCUCUUUUUGCAG